CCUACGGGAGGCAGCAGUGAGGAAUAUUGGUCAAUGGGCGCGAGCCUGAACCAGCCAAGUAGCGUGAAGGAUGACUGCCCUACGGGUUGUAAACUUCUUUUAUAAAGGAAUAAAGUGAGGCACGUGUGCCUCUUUGUAUGUACUUUAUGAAUAAGGAUAGGCUAACUUCGUGCGAGCAGCCGCGGUAAUACGGAGGAUCCGAGCGUGUUCCGGAUUUAUUGGGGUUAAAGGGAGCGUAGAUGGGGUGUUAAGUCAGUUGUGAAAGUUUGCGGCUCAACCGUAAAAUUGCAAUUGAUACUGGCAGUCUUGAGUACAGUUGAGGUAGGCGGAAUUCGUGGUGUAGCGGUGAAAUGCUUAGAUAUCACGAAGAACUCCGAUUGCGAAGGCAGCUUACUAAGCUGCCACUGACAUUGAUGCUCGAAAGUGUGGGUAUCAAACAGGAUUAGAUACCCUGGUAGUC
This 460-nucleotide ribosomal RNA is filed under the name uncultured bacterium. RNAcentral describes it as "partial 16S ribosomal RNA". It matches the Rfam family "Bacterial small subunit ribosomal RNA", at positions 338 to 795 of the family's 1533-position model. The record is from RNAcentral.